CAGGGGAUAGUCUAAGGUUAUGAUCUUAGCUUUGGGAGUUGAGGAUAGAAGUUAAAAUCUUCUUCCCCUGA
This 71-nucleotide transfer RNA is filed under the name Moringua javanica (Java spaghetti eel). Its description in RNAcentral is "tRNA-Pro". It matches the Rfam family "tRNA". From Rfam's summary of the family: Transfer RNA (tRNA) molecules are approximately 80 nucleotides in length. The record is from RNAcentral. Lineage: Eukaryota; Metazoa; Chordata; Actinopteri; Anguilliformes; Moringuidae.